CCAUUCAGUCCGUUCUGAUGACCACACAGACACAAAAGCAACGUACUACAAGUAUACUAGGUGGAUGCACAUUAUUUGCCCAAAGCCAAUGUAAUUUGUUCGAUACUUCUAUCUAGCUACAUUCUCUCCGAACCAUCUCUGGGUCUUUCAUCCUCGUCAAUUGUAAUUUUUUCGAUCUACUUGGCUUCUGUCAUCAUAUCCUAGUACCAGUGCUGAUUCAAGUUAGUUGAGGCCAGUCGCCAAGCCAUGGGUUAGAUCGAUCUAGCUGCUGCGUACACCGAAGAGAUGGCCUGAGACUAGCUGGCAAUCUCAGGUUAUACUCGAAAUCCGUCGUGCGAACUGAGAUUAAAGCUAUUUAAGUCCGACUUGCGUUCUUCAAUGGCACAAGAAAGACUGAAUGAUUUGGUUACGCUAGCACUUAGACUCGUGGAGUAAUCUGGCGGAGAAGAUUGAUUAUGAGCACAUCAUUAAAAACAUAUAAAAAAUGAUGUUUAGGUAAAGAUUAUUCAGCUAGAUAUAUAUCGCAGUCUAGCUAUAUGUUGUUCUUUAUAGCUUAUACAUCAUUAUUGUUGACUAGUUGUAUUUCUCUAAACCCUAUUUUAGAGUUUGGCACAGUGACCCGGAUUUUGUUGCGACGGCCCUGUAUGUUCAGUCACCAAUCGGCUCCUCCACAUCUCCCACUUCCGAGUUCUGACAAAGUUGUCUACUCCGGUUGGAGGAAAUUAAACCAUCUCGAAUUCUAGGCUCCUCACAAUUGAGUAGACAAGAUAUAUUCUGAUGAGUGAAGCAAUGUGUUAAGCUCGCACAAACAGUAUUGUUCAGCCGAAAUUUGGGUAAAAAGGUGGAUCUUCCGAUGAACAGGACGAUAUUUUGUAUAAACAGUAAUUUCGGUUACAUUCGAAAAGGCGGCCAAAAUUUUUAUUAUUGUACCCAACAGCAUUGUGCUUCAGUGCUUAAACCUUUAAUAUUUAUCUUUACAAACUUACAAAAUAGAUCCUGCAGUGGCUGGCUACCUUACAAGCAAAGAACCAUUCCGAUGACCACAAUGACAAAAGCAAACGUACUAUAUAUAUGCACAUUUCCCCCUUUGCUUC
This is a long non-coding RNA of Panicum virgatum (switchgrass), 1094 nucleotides long. RefSeq lists it as uncharacterized. The transcript is spliced from 3 exons. NCBI's taxonomy places the organism in Eukaryota, Viridiplantae, Streptophyta, Magnoliopsida, Poales, Poaceae. The record is from RefSeq and is a predicted model, not a curated record.